CAGUAGCCGCGGUAAUACGGAGGGUGCAAGCGUUAAUCGGAAUUACUGGGCGUAAAGCGCACGCAGGCGGUUUGUUAAGUCAGAUGUGAAAUCCCCGAGCUUAACUUGGGAACUGCAUUUGAAACUGGCAGGCUAGAGUCUUGUAGAGGGGGGUAGAAUUCCAGGUGUAGCGGUGAAAUGCGUAGAGAUCUGGAGGAAUACCGGUGGCGAAGGCGGCCCCCUGGACAAAGACUGACGCUCAGGUGCGAAAGCGUGGGGAGCAAACAGGAUUAGAUACCCCGGUAGUCCCUGUCUCUUAUAA
Molecule: ribosomal RNA, 301 nt
Filed under: uncultured bacterium
Lineage: Bacteria
Description: partial 16S ribosomal RNA
Rfam family: Bacterial small subunit ribosomal RNA
Source: RNAcentral